AGAAAGGUAAGCUAAGAAAGCUUACGGGUUCAUACCCCGUCUAUAGAGGGCACCCCUCUUCUCUCUA
RNAcentral lists this transfer RNA (67 nucleotides) under Paraleuctra cercia. RNAcentral describes it as "tRNA-Met". The record is from RNAcentral. Lineage: Eukaryota; Metazoa; Arthropoda; Insecta; Plecoptera; Leuctridae.